GAAUAAAACAAUUACUUUACAGCUCAGUGCAAUGUAGUAUUUAAAGAAAAGGUAGGCAUUUUGAUUCCCAAGUAAACUAAAGAGAAGAAAACUGAGGCUUAAAGAGGGCCUGUUUGCGUGUUCCCAACUGCUAUGUGGCCAAGAAUAACAAUCUUUAAUAUUGGUAUCCUUAUUUACAAAGAAAAUGAGUGCAGAAAGGACAAGUAGUUUUCGUGAAACCACUUGGAAGUGGAGGAGAAGGGUUUUGAACUCCCAUCAUCUCAAGCUCAUGCUUUGCCAUCUCACCACAGUGAAAUGAUGGAAAACUCAAGUCUGCAAACCUUAAAUUUUCAAUCAAAGGGAGGAAACCUUGGGCAAAUGAAGAGGUCAUGGAUAUGAUAUGAAAAUAUUUUAUGAUUUUGCAUGUGAGAAGCUACUGCAUAGAUGAAUUCAACUGCAGGAUCCCUUUUAAAAAAUAUGUAUCUUCAAGAUUGAGUGUGAGCCUUCACAAACUCCUCCUUGUAUCUUAAGUCUGCUGGAGUACUGGCCUGACUCCACUCACUCACUGUGUACUUCGUUUGAAACUAACAAACAAUACAGUGACUGUCAGUAGAUGUUGCCUCCUCAGUCUACAGAGCCAACAAAAAUUAUGGAAAAUGUCAUCAGAUUUCCAUGACAACAUCACGCUGUAUAAUCAACAUGGUUCGAACUAGUCACAUCUUUGCACAACUGGACACAUCAAAAUAAUUGUAUUAUGUCAUCAGUGAUGCCACCAGACAGAGCACCAGCUCCCUUCCUACACUGGAUAGCAGACGUUCAAAUAACGCAAUGUACUGAAGAACUAAUACAGUUUAGACACCAGAGGUCUCACAAGUUAAACCCUCUAUAUAAUACAGAGCCCUCCUGAGAAUCAACUUAAGGUGAAAUGUUUUAAAGAAGAGAUAAUGGUGGUGGUGUGGUGGUACAUGUUGAGCAACCAGCUCUCUGGAGCAACUGAAAAAUACUUCUAAUCUGGCAAAUUCAGCGAGAAGACUGAGUUCCUUAAUUUCUGUCAGCACCAGUGAAAAACUGUCCUAAACUGACCCUGGCUUACAGAUGUACCACUGGAUCUUGGACUAAAUGCAAAGAAGAACAGCAGAAUGGUUGGUGGAGAUUCCUAUGCUUUCGACCCAUGGCGGGGUCACUAAGUCAGGUGAAUCACCUCCCACCCCUAAAGAUUCCCACCCAGUUAUGCCUUCUAAUGUGCUGUUCACAGUUUAUCAACUGAUUCUGAAAUUCUGAGACUUAACAGUUUUAAACUGACUGUUUAUGUUUCUUAUUUAUGCUUUUGCCUACCCCAUCAGUCUAAACCUGAUCCCUGAUUUCUCUCCAUUUUGUUUUAACUUCAUUUGAAACUCACGACUUUAAAGUGACUGUACGUUAGUUUUGACCACAACUAAACCUGGCUAAUAAAUGGCUCCACUUUC
RNAcentral lists this long non-coding RNA (1445 nucleotides) under Homo sapiens (human). RNAcentral's name for it is "HSALNT0307613". Lineage: Eukaryota; Metazoa; Chordata; Mammalia; Primates; Hominidae. The record is from RNAcentral.